CGUCUAUAUACGUAUAGCAUAUCAAUAAGCGGAGGAAAAGAAACUAACUAGGAUUCCCUCAGUAACGGCGAGUGAAGCGGGAAGAGCUCAAAUUUGAAAUCUUCAAGGUUCUACCUUGACGAAUUGUAGUUUAAAGAAGUGUUUUCUGUUGGAGUUUUGGUAAAAGUUCUUUGGAAUAGGACAUCAUAGAGGGUGAGAAUCCCGUAUUUGACCAUUAUUUCCAACUUUGUGAUACACUUUCAAAGAGUCGGAUUGUUUGGGAAUACAGUCCAAAAUGGGUGGUAAAUUUCAUCUAAAGCUAAAUACUGGCGAGAGACCGAUAGCGAACAAGUACCGUGAGGGAAAGAUGAAAAGAACUUUGAAAAGAGAGUUAAACAGUACGUGAAAUUGUCAAAAGGGAAGCGUUUGACACCAGUGUUGUUUUCUCGAAAAUCAAUUAAAAAUGAUUGGAUUUUGUGUUGUAUUGACUUCAUCAGCUUUCUGCACUCUUUUCUUGUCUUUUUUAAUGCACUUUUCGUUUAACAAGUCAACAUCAAUUUCUUUUGCUGUAAAAGGAGUCAUUGGAAGGUGGCUUUCUUUUCGGAGAAAGUGUUUAUAGCCUUUGACUUCUGCAAUCGGAGAGAUUGAGGUCUGCAGCGUAGAUCCUUCGGGGUUAGAUGCAUUUGUGCUAAGUUAUAGCCUUUCAUAGACAACUUGUUGACUAUGAUCAGUCAUGUAGCUUACUCGCUUAUGUUAUUUUACCUACGCUUAGGAUGUUGAUCUGUAGUGCGUGCGC
This 775-nucleotide ribosomal RNA is filed under the name uncultured Neocallimastigales. RNAcentral's name for it is "partial large subunit ribosomal RNA". It matches the Rfam family "Eukaryotic large subunit ribosomal RNA", at positions 26 to 632 of the family's 3401-position model. Lineage: Eukaryota; Fungi; Neocallimastigomycota; Neocallimastigomycetes; Neocallimastigales. The record is from RNAcentral.